AAUAAACAGUGUAACUACUUCCCCAGCUGUGACCAAGCAAUCAGUUAGAAACAGCUGCUACAAAUGAUUGCAGCCUAGUCAGAUUAGGGUACAGAGACUUCAGAGGUACAGACAGAGGGAAGCUGUGAAAAGAGCAUGGGAACAAAGACUGUGAAAACAAAAAGAUACUGCAGCAUACGAAUAAGGAUCUGCUCACUCAGCUGCUGGAAUGAAUGGCGAGUUUCAUGGAUAAGAAGGAUGAAUACCUAGUAAACACAGGGCUGUUAUCAGAGUCAAGAAAUGUGUGGCCAGGAUGCAGGCUUCACCCUGAAGGCUCUCUCUUAGGUGGCAGAUGGCAGCAACCUGGAGGUGGGAUGCCGAAGACCACACCCCCCUCCAGGCGGAUG
Long non-coding RNA from Alligator sinensis (Chinese alligator), 386 nucleotides. RefSeq lists it as uncharacterized. The transcript has 3 exons. The record is from RefSeq and is a predicted model, not a curated record. NCBI's taxonomy places the organism in Eukaryota, Metazoa, Chordata, Crocodylia, Alligatoridae.